GCAUAUCAAUAAGCGGAGGAAAAGAAACCAACAGGGAUUGCCUCAGUAACGGCGAGUGAAGCGGCAACAGCUCAAAUUUGAAAUCUGGCCCUUUCAGGGUCCGAGUUGUAAUUUGUAGAGGAUGUUUCGGGUGUGGCUCCGGUCUAAGUUCCUUGGAACAGGACGUCAUAGAGGGUGAGAAUCCCGUAUGUGACUGGUAGCCUAUGCUCAUGUGAAACUCCUUCGACGAGUCGAGUUGUUUGGGAAUGCAGCUCAAAAUGGGUGGUAAAUUUCAUCUAAAGCUAAAUAUUGGCCAGAGACCGAUAGCGCACAAGUAGAGUGAUCGAAAGAUGAAAAGCACUUUGGAAAGAGAGUUAAACAGUACGUGAAAUUGUUGAAAGGGAAGCGCUUGCAACCAGACUUGCAUGUAGCUGAUCAACCGGUGUUCUCACCGGUGCACUCAGUUGCGUUCAGGCCAGCAUCGGUUUCGACGGUUGGAUAAAGGCCUUGGGAAUGUAGCUCCUCUCGGGGAGUGUUAUAGCCCAGGGUGCAAUGCAGCCUGUUGGGACCGAGGACCGCGCUUCGGCUAGGAUGCUGGCGUAAUGGUUGUAAGCGACCCGUCUUGAAACACGGACCAAGGAGUCUAACAUCUAUGCGAGUGUUUGGGUGUCAAACCCAUACGCGUAAUGAAAGUGAACGGAGGUGAGAACCCUUAAGGGUGCAUCAUCGACCGAUCCUGAUGUCUUCGGAUGGAUUUGAGUAAGAGCAUAGCUGUUGGGACCCGAAAGAUGGUGAACUAUGCCUGAAUAGGGUGAAGCCAGAGGAAACUCUGGUGGAGGCUCGCAGCGGUUCUGACGUGCAAAUCGAUCGUCAAAUUUGGGUAUAGGGGCGAAAGACUAAUCGAACCAUCUAGUAGCUGGUUCCUGCUCGAAG
This 912-nucleotide ribosomal RNA is filed under the name Phacidium lauri. RNAcentral describes it as "LSU rRNA". It matches the Rfam family "Eukaryotic large subunit ribosomal RNA", at positions 38 to 966 of the family's 3401-position model. Lineage: Eukaryota; Fungi; Ascomycota; Leotiomycetes; Phacidiales; Phacidiaceae. The record is from RNAcentral.